AUGCUUAAUAAGCUAAUAAGAGAGGAAGAGAUAGAGAGGAGAUCGAUGAUGGGUUUCUCCGGUGCUCUGCAAUGGUGGGAUGAAUGGCACCUGCGCGUUCUGGCGCUGGGCAGCCUCUUCAUCCAGUACUUCCUCUUCGUCUCCGGCACGGUGCGCAGGCGUGCUCUUCCAGCUUGGCUCAGGCUCUUCAUCUGGCUUGCCUACCUCGGUGGGGAUGCUCUGGCGAUAUACGCGCUGGCCACCCUCUUCAACCGCCGCUCGCAGCUACCCGGCGACGGGAGCGGCAGCGGCCUGGAGGUCGUAUGGGCGCCUGUCCUCCUCGUCCACCUCGGCGGCCAGCACAACAUGACUGCCUACAGCAUCCAAGACACCGAGUUGUGGAUGCGCCAUGCCAUAACGGUGGCAUCCCAGGUCUCGGUCGCCCUCUACGUAUUCUGUAAGUUGUGGUCCGGGGAGAAGGGGUUAUUGCAGGCCGCAAUCUUGAUGUUCGUCGUCGGCAUCAUCAGAUCCUGCCAGAAGCCAUGGGCUCUCAAGAGCGCCAGUAUCAGUGCCAUCGCCAGUAGCAGUGCAACCCUUGUUCCCAGCUCUCCAUCGGCGCUAAGGAAACAAGGUAUGGUUGCCCUUUUCUGGCAGGUCUGCACGUGCGGUUAUGGCUAUGGAUUUCAAUCAACCGGAUUUCUGGAAGCAGUAGCCGAAGAGAAGGACAUUUUGCCUCAAGAAUUUGCAAAAGAAGCAAGAAAGUGUGUACUGGAGUCAGAGUUAGCCCAUGAUCAAGACAAAGCAGAACUACUAGCUGAACCUUCGGUGGAAAUGUAUGUCAACAUGGUACUGGGAGACAUACCAGUUCCAUACUCUACCCGGAUUAAAAUCUUACAGCGUUUCAUGGCCCUUGAUUUUCCACAUGCAUAUCACCUAUCAGAUUGCAUGUUCCUUUUGUCAUUUUUGCUCCUCUACACAAGAAAGACCAUUUUAAUCAGUCGCCUUGGCUUAUGUUUGCAUCUCUUGCUCCCAUUCCUGGCCUUAGCUUCUGUCGUCAUCCUCUUUUCCACGGGCCACAAAUAUCUUGGAUACAAAUACAACAUGACAGAUGUCAAGGUAACUUACAUCUUGUUCUCUUGUACUGCGCUGCUGGAUUUCCUAAUGCUAUUGGUUAGUCGUUUCAUCACAUUCAUACCACCAGUCAAGGUUGCCCAGCAUAGCCUCUUGUCGUGUGCUUCUCGCAACAAGAGGCCCACUAUUUUGAUGAAGCUUGCCACAGUUGUCUGCUGCAAGGACUAUGUUAACAUGCAUUGUUAUAUAGAACAGGCACCAGAAACAUCCACAGCCUAUAUUGUACAUUUGGUUCAUGGAUAUGUGAAGGAUGGGUGGAAACAACACAUCCACAACGCUGACAGCUACAGAAGAUUCAAUAGCCGCGGGGGCCAUUGGACUCUGAGGAAGAGGAGGCUUCGGCGCCUGAGGUGGAGCUUGAACAUGGCAUUCGAUAGAAGUGUCCUUCUCUGGCACAUCGCCACGGAACUAUGCUAUGGCAGCACAACCAAUCGAAUUCCAGAAUGCGUCCAAGGAAGCAUGGUGAUAUCCAACUACAUGGCUUACCUGCUCUGCAUCCAUCCUGAGAUGCUAAUGCCCGGGACCAGGAGCAGUAUCUUCACUUUCGCCUGCCAUGAUGUUGAGCUCAUGCUAGGCCAUGAGUCUUCCUUGGGGGAUCUGGUUCCCAAUGCACACAGGCUUCAUUACCAGUUGCUGGAGCUGCAUGACGAAGGGGAGAGGUGGGAGGUGGUACAGGGAGUAUGGGUCGAGAUGCUAUGCUACUCUGCCAGUAGGUGCAGGGGGUACUUGCACGCCAAGAGCUUGAGUGAAGGUGUGGAACUCUUGUCCCGUGUUUGGCUGCUCUUGUUAUUCAUGGGGAUGGAGACAUUCGCGGAUAGGUUUCAGAGGCCCUUUACACGGAGAGAAGUCCACAAUGAUGAUGCAGGCAGAACUGACGAGAACGAGAUUAAUAUUUCUAUUGUCUAA
This 2016-nucleotide ribosomal RNA is filed under the name Triticum aestivum (bread wheat). RNAcentral's name for it is "partial small subunit ribosomal RNA". Lineage: Eukaryota; Viridiplantae; Streptophyta; Magnoliopsida; Poales; Poaceae. The record is from RNAcentral.